RNAcentral lists this ribosomal RNA (496 nucleotides) under uncultured Rhodocyclaceae bacterium. RNAcentral's name for it is "bacterial SSU rRNA". It matches the Rfam family "Bacterial small subunit ribosomal RNA", at positions 887 to 1382 of the family's 1533-position model. The record is from RNAcentral. Lineage: Bacteria; Pseudomonadati; Pseudomonadota; Betaproteobacteria; Rhodocyclales; Rhodocyclaceae.
GCCCGCUCAGAAACUCAAAGGAAUUGACGGGGACCCGCACAAGCGGUGGAUGAUGUGGAUUAAUUCGAUGCAACGCGAAAACCUUACCUACCCUUGACAUGCCAGGAAUCCUGCAGAGAUGUGGGAGUGCUCGAAAGAGAACCUGGACACAGGUGCUGCAUGGCUGUCGUCAGCUCGGUGUCGUGAGAUGUUGGGUUAAGUCCCGCAACGAGCGCAACCCUUGUCAUUAGUUGCCAUCAUUAAGUUGGGCACUCUAAUGAGACUGCCGGUGACAAACCGGAGGAAGGUGGGGAUGACGUCAAGUCCUCAUGGCCCUUAUGGGUAGGGCUUCACACGUCAUACAAUGGUCGGUACAAAGGGUUGCCAAGCCGCGAGGUGGAGCCAAUCCCAGAAAGCCGAUCGUAGUCCGGAUCGGAGUCUGCAACUCGACUCCGUGAAGUCGGAAUCGCUAGUAAUCGUGGAUCAGCAUGCCACGGUGAAUACGUUCCCGGGUCUU